This 770-nucleotide long non-coding RNA is filed under the name Androctonus crassicauda. Lineage: Eukaryota; Metazoa; Arthropoda; Arachnida; Scorpiones; Buthidae. The record is from RNAcentral.
UUUUUGGUCCAUGAAAAUUGGCAUGAUUAUGUAGAAAGAUAACAUUUUAAUUAUUUAUGUAAUCAGUCUGCCAGUGAAAAAUUGAGGGAUGGAAUUAGAAAUACACCUUCAUAUUUUUUUCAGGGAGUGCCCCUGGAUUCCCAACAACUGAUGAUAUUAUUUGCAGAAUUUAGAAUGAAAGUUCCCAAGUAAAAAUGUUUUUUAUAGGAUAGACUUGCGCUCACUUGUCAGCAUACAGUGGGCUAUGAUGUUUAUUCUGAGCAAAUAUCCCCAUUUGCAUCUGCUUACUGCAGAGAUACAUGCUGAUUCUUGCUUCAUUUUGUGCUUCGAUCUCAUGGAAAUUGUCUCCUCAUUCCAUUCUUUCCCAGACGAGACAUGGUCUGGGAAAGAGGCAUGGGAAGAGACCAUACUAAACUGGCUCCCAGACGAGGCAUGGUCUGGGAGCCUUUUUAAUCAUCUCUUAUGACAGGCAUGAAACGAUAGAUAAUUUGUCCCGACUUGUGGGAUGGGGGAAAAAGAAACCAUAAAAUAUACUUAUUCUCAUUUCUUGUUCUUUUACUUUUCUUGUAUAGUAUAGUCUACAGAAGAAAAUAUAAUACAGCAAGCACACAAAUUAUUUCAUAUUCUAACAAUUUAUACUUCCUUUAUGAUUAACACAUAAUCAAGAGUCCUAUUGUUAAUUUAUAAAAAAAUCAAAAUCUGAUUAAAAAAAACUAUCAAUUUUUACUUUUCCUAUAAGCAAAUACUUAUAGAAAAGUAAGGAAUAGCAG